Molecule: ribosomal RNA, 274 nt
Filed under: uncultured bacterium
Lineage: Bacteria
Description: partial 16S ribosomal RNA
Rfam family: Bacterial small subunit ribosomal RNA
Source: RNAcentral
AUACGUAGGCAGCAAGCGUUGUUCGGAAUUACUGGGCGUAAAGCGCGCGUAGGCGGCUAAGUAAGUCGGAUGUGAAAGCCCUGGGCUCAACCUGGGAAUUGCAUUCGAUACUGCUUGGCUAGAGUACUACAGAGGAUAGUGGAAUUUCCAGUGUAGCGGUGAAAUGCGUAGAUAUUGGAAGGAACACCAGUGGCGAAGGCGACUACCUGGACCGGUUCUGACGCUGAGGCGCGAAAGCGUGGGGAGCAAACAGGAUUAGAAACCCCGGUAGUCC